GCAAGGGCUUGGAGCAAGGUAUUUAUCUAUAAAAGCAAUGGUGCUGAACUUGUAACUGGAGGACCUGUCCAGCUGAGCUGCGACUAUCAGUAAUGGAUCAUGGGAAUGUGGAUCUUCAAUCAAAGGACCCCUGUUGAGCCCAGCCAGUGAAGUGCUGCCCUCCGACACCAGUGAGGGCAAACAAACACAGGCUCAAUCUCCAAGGUGACUUCCCCACCCAGCACACCAGGUGCCACCCUCGUGCCCAGCAACAAGAAGAAAUCUUUAUUUCAAGUUGAAGAGACACCGGAAAAGAGCCUGCGAAUCUUGGGAUCCAGGGCUGGAAAUGCAAGCUAAGUGAGGUGAGCUGGUUUGUGGCACUGUCCAGAUAGUCAUCGGCCAAGACAAGAUUCAUACCAGGCUUCCUGAUCCAGAAACCACACCCCACUAUCCUUCUGUGUAGCCCAAGCAGGCUACCGGCCUCCAAGCUCACUCCACGGAUACAGGUGAGCUCUGGGGGGUGGAACUUGCCUUGGAAUCUAUAGGUUUUCACUUCCUAGCUGAAGGGUUGGGGACAAGUUCCAUACUGUCUUUAGUUUCUGUCCUCUUUUCUAAAACAAAAACAAAAACAAAAAACCGGGACCAAUCACACUAAGGACUUGUAAGGAUUAAGUUAGAUGCCACGUUGCAAUUAUUUAUCAUAAUACGAGACAGAAAGUCUCUCCAAACUGUUAACUGCUGAAGUGCUGGCUAGGAUGAAGACACAAUUAAAUCAAGAAGUACUUUUGCUUUGAUCU
Molecule: long non-coding RNA, 776 nt
Organism: Mastomys coucha (southern multimammate mouse)
Lineage: Eukaryota; Metazoa; Chordata; Mammalia; Rodentia; Muridae
Exons: 4
Source: RefSeq, a predicted model, not a curated record